Molecule: non-coding RNA, 1656 nt
Organism: Zootoca vivipara (common lizard)
Lineage: Eukaryota; Metazoa; Chordata; Lepidosauria; Squamata; Lacertidae
Source: RefSeq, a predicted model, not a curated record
GCCACAGUUCCUCUGCAAAGAUCGUGAACUUUCCCAGCGCCUGCGCCAGGCAUGGGAUGCCGCUCGCGCCAGGCUCCUCGAGAGCAAAUAGAGAACUUUGACCUGCAGCCCACAACAAGCUUUGAGAUGUGAUAAUUGAUCUGGCCUAACACUUGUCAAACCUAUCCAUUCUGAAGGAAAUCAGCCCUGAGUGCUCACUGGAAGGACAGAUCAUGAAGCUGAGGCGCCAAUACUUUGGCCACCUCAUGAGAAGAGAAGACUCCCUGGAAAAGACCCUGAUGUUGGGAAUGAUGGAGGGCACAAGGAGAAGGGGAUGACAGAGGACGAGAUGGUUGGACAGUGUUCUCGAAGCUACCAACAUGAGUUGCAGUUGGUAGUGGAAGACAGGAGUGCCUGGCCUGCUCUGGUCCAUGGGGUCACAAAGAGUUGGACACGACUAAACAACAACAACAACACUGGUUGCAGAACAUUUAACCACGAUGCUAGUAGCCAAAAUAUGUAGGAAGCAGUGGCAGCUGCUGCCCAUUGUGACUUGUGGGGCAGAAAACGAAGUGUCUUGUGUGCAAAGCAAGCUUGGGCCAAAUGCACUUAAGUAGCUUCUUGUAGAGGACACUCUCCUUGAGGUUUGUGUAUAUGAUUUAAGGUAGCUGAAAGAUUAUUGUGAGGUGCAGGUCCUCGUUUCCUCUAUGCAUUUUGACCAGUGUUAUUUUCCUAGAAAAAUGUGCUGGAACCCAACAUGAUCACCUCCCUUGUUCGCUUAGAAUGGCAAUGGUGUCCACCUGAGAGGUGCUGGAACUGAGUUCCAGCAACUUCUGGCUGGGGGGGGGGAGGCUGAAUUUUUGGCUGCUAUGGGCAUUAGGGACAUGCCCAUGAUGAUGGUGUCUUGCAUUCAGAGAACAGGGCCAAAUGCAAUUCAGGGCCAUCUCAUAGAUGAGGACACUUUCCCAGAGGUGUGGGUAUUAUCAUUUGGGGUGGCCCAAACUGUACUGUGGGGAGCACACACCCAGUUCCUUUUUCUGGAAUUGUCUAAGUUAAUGUGCAUUCAUAAAUGGCCCACACAAACAAAAGGUUUUGAUUGUUUAAACUGCUGCUCUUGAAAGGAGGAGCCCCCACCCAGAUCAUGGAGACAUAGGAGAUGAGGCCAUUUCGGGUUCAGGGGCAUAUGGACUUCUUUUUAAGAUUCCUGACUUAGGUGUAUUUCCAGCUUUUGUGCAACUAAGGAUCUAGGAACUAGUAAUCAACUUUAGCUUGCUAAGCCAACAACAGUGAAGCAAUCACAGCAAUAGUUCAUGCUUGAAUUUGCCCACUGUCAAACUUAGAUUUCUGAAGAAAGGAAAUCAAGUUUAUUUUCCCUGACACAGAUGCUUCUCCAAUGACAGCAUGGGGCUGGGUUAAAAAUAAUUUGGUUUUCACAAUUUAUCUCAUCCUUUUACUCAUCAGAAAACCUGCUCAUGUAAAAAAAAAGUACUAAAAGCAACAACACUGGUAUUACCACUCUUAUUUGUCUAGUCAUGGCAUGCAGGUGGCACUUUUCCCAUAAAUGAAUCUGCUUGCCGGGAAACGCUCUGAUUCUUAAAUGUUGAACCAGGUGUGUAAAAGCAUUUCUGUACUUUUCUAUUUGCUUUAAACAGGAACAAUGAACAACUUCAACAAGAA